Molecule: ribosomal RNA, 230 nt
Filed under: uncultured bacterium
Lineage: Bacteria
Description: partial 16S ribosomal RNA
Rfam family: Bacterial small subunit ribosomal RNA
Source: RNAcentral
UGGGCAACCUGCCCCUAGCACUGGGAUAACCCCGGGAAAACCGGGGCUAAUACCGGAUACUCCGGUCGAACCGCAUGGCUCGAUCGGGAAAGCUCCGACGGUCUGGGAUGGGCCCGCGGCCUAUCAGCUUGUUGGUGAGGUAACGGCUCACCAAGGCGUCGACGGGUAGCUGGUCUGAGAGGGCGAUCGGCCACACUGGGACUGAGACACGGCCCAGACUCCUACGGGAG